This 493-nucleotide ribosomal RNA is filed under the name uncultured bacterium. Its description in RNAcentral is "bacterial SSU rRNA". It matches the Rfam family "Bacterial small subunit ribosomal RNA", at positions 28 to 520 of the family's 1533-position model. The record is from RNAcentral.
GAUGAACGCUGGCGGCGUGCUUAACACAUGCAAGUCGAACGAAGCACUUCAAACUUAAUCUUCGGAAGCGGUUUGAUUUGACUGAGUGGCGGACGGGUGAGUAACGCGUGAGUAACCUGCCUUUCAGAGGGGGAUAACAGUUGGAAACGACUGCUAAUACCGCAUAACGUAUCGGAACCGCAUGAUUCUGAUACCAAAGCUGAGGCGCUGAAAGGUGGACUCGCGUCUGAUUAGAUAGUUGGUGAGGUAACGGCUCACCAAGUCGACGAUCAGUAGCCGGACUGAGAGGUUGAACGGCCACAUUGGGACUGAGACACGGCCCAGACUCCUACGGGAGGCAGCAGUGGGGAAUAUUGCACAAUGGGCGAAAGCCUGAUGCAGCAACGCCGCGUGAGGGAAGACGGUUUUCGGAUUGUAAACCUCUGUCUUUGGUGAAGAUAAUGACGGUAGCCAAGGAGGAAGCCACGGCUAACUACGUGCCAGCAGCCGACGG